UUUAUUUUUUUUAUAUGUAUGACUAUAGUGUACUUUGAGAUAUGUAUGAAUAUGUGUAGCCAUUCUAUGAAGCUUUUUAUUCGGUCAUUCUAUAUCUAUAUAAUGAUUAAUUUAUGAUGAUUAAUUUAUGUGUGCAUGCGUACAGUUUGAUAAGUGAUUUUGGUAUUCGGGCCUUGGCCGUAUUUAGUUCCUCCAAAAUUUUUUUGACACCACAGACACACAUUUAAAGUAUUAAACAUAGACUAAUAAAACAAAUUACAGAUUCCACCUAUAAACUGCGAGACGAAUUUAUUAAGCCUAAUUAAUCUAUCAUUAGCAAAUAUUUACUGUAGCACCACAUUGUCAAAUUAUAGCGUAAUUAGGCUCAAAAGAUUCGUCUCGCAAUUUACAUGCAAACAAUGCAAUUGAUUUUUUUUUCAUCCACAUUUAAUGCUUCAUGCAUGUGUCCAAACAUUUGAUGUGACGGAAUUUUUGGAAGUUUGAAGGGAACUAAACACAACCCUUAUUUAGAUCCCAAAAAAUUUUGGCCAAAAACGUCACAUCAAAUGUUUGGACAAAUGCAUGGGGCAUUAAAUGUGGAAAAAAAAUCAAUUGCAUAGUUUGCAUGUAAAUUGCGAGACGAAUCUUUUGAGCCUAAUUAUGCCAUGAUUUGACAAUGUGAUGCUACAGUAAAUAUUUGCUAAUGACGAAUUAAUUAGACUUAAUAAAUUCAUCUCGCAGUUAUAGGCGGAAUCUGUAAUUUGUUUUGUUAUUAGUCUACGUUUAAUAAUUUAAAUGUGUGUCCGUAUACUUCAAAAACUUUGCACCCAAACAACUAAACACACCCUCAGGCAAUAUAACUUGGUUCUUUUUUUCUCUAAUGCAGCACCACCAUAGUCAACUGUAGAGUUAUCCCUUGGUAUGUGAAGUGAUGAUCAGAGCCAAUGUACCUCUCAAACCGACUCACAAAUGGAUAUCAUCAUUGUUGAAAGAAGGGUUUCAUCGGGGUUUUAACCGAUGAGGUAUGUAGAUGUUGCAUCGGCUUACAAAGAUUGCAUAUAAGUUGGAUUUAGCCAUUCGCAACAAAGGUUUCACUGUUUAUCUAAUCUUGUGGAUUUUAUGACAUGGGACCUCCAGCCAAUAUAUGCUUUAACCAUCGGAAUAUUUAUUUUAUCAUAUCAUUGUUAGCCGAUUAGUUUCUACUGGAUUAUAUUAUUGUUAUUUAUCAUCAUCGGCUGAUGGCCUUUAUGUCAUUUAUUUACUCAAGUAUCAGACUUUGCAUUGGACAUAUAGCCGAUUGCUCAAAACCCUAUCAACAUCUGCUGGUAUCGGCAUCAGUUGGAAUUACUCCGUCUGCUUGUCAGCCAAUCGGCUCAUUGAUCUACUAUUUGCAUAUCUUAUCAGUUGCAGGAUCAAACUGACUGACACUUCUGCAUCUCAUCAACCUUUUGACCUGCACUGGAGCUAAGUAGAUCUCCCAUGCCGUUGGGUUUGUUGACUUAAUUUUGCGCCAACACAGUUCUGGCACCAUCGGCCGAGCGCGGUUUUUUCGUCAACAGGGGGUAAAAUGAAAAAAAAAGGAGAUGCUAAGGUGCCUAUUUUUUCCUCUCAGGGUGGGAUGAGGAUUUGUGGAAGGAUUCCUUAGAAAAGAAGUUUCUUGAAGGGUAUUGAAAAUAUUUCGCAAACUGAGGAAAUAACGGCUAGAAGCAUCGGAACGAAGAAUUGAACGGCUAAAGUUCCCUUAAUGACGUGGUGUUGUAUUUUGCAAGGAAAGGUUUCACUUUUCACUUAUUUAGAUAUAACACACAUGCAUGUAUUUUCGUGCAACUAGUGACUUGCAACACAUGAUCCCUGCUAGAUGCCUGUUGGCAGUCAUUAAACCCUAAAAUCACCACCAAUAUUAUAAUAAAAAUAUCACAUAAAGCAUGUUACCUAGGUCGAUUUUGCCUUAUUUCAAUGAGUUACACGAUUUCUGUUGGAUUUCACUACGCGUAUAAUAAUUCACGAUUUUGACCUAUUUUUUUUCCAAUGAAAAUCUGGCAUUUUAAGCCAAAGGGCUGACCAGCCGACCAACAUACCUCAUGGGUCAACCGGCCUAAAGACUUGGCCGACUAGCCAACUCAGGGCUCGGCCAGCUAUUUGGAAACGUGUCCUGAUUGGCCACCCUCCUCACUGAGCCGGCUGGCCUGCGCAGCACGAUGUGAGGCUAAUGAUUGAUUGGUGGACCCCAUUCUGGGAGUGAUGUCUUCUCGGAUGAGUAACAUGUAGACUUACUUUUCCCUCUUAAUAUUUUAUUCAUACAUUAUGCUUAUUGCCAUACUUUUUUUCCUAGUUCUCUUCUAAGUUUAUUUUUUAUGCUUGCUUGAGUGGAUGCCUCAUUUAUAAUUAAGCUGGGAACAUGUAUAGUUCUAUGUGUGGGUGUGGUGCUUAGGAAUAGUUUUAUCUAGGAAGGCUGGUUGGGGAAACAGAGGACGUAGUUGGCCGGGUGCCGACAGCCUCGGUUGUCCUUUGAAGCCAGCCACGUUAACCCUAAUUACGCUGACGCAAAUAGGUAGACCAAUGCUUAAUGUGGAAAGCAGUCCUGUUUCCAAAGCAAGCAAGGAUAAGUGUAGCUAAAUGGAUUUCCUAGAAUGAAAGCAGUCUUGUGAUGUGGGGAAUAACCCGGGGACUUGAAUCCUGACUAAUUCGAUGAUUUCACAACCAUAUCAUCACAUUCACACAACAAAUACAUAUAUAUAGACAAUAAUGUUCACAUUUCUAAGUGUUAACAAAAGACACACAUCACAUUGGACUAACUGGUCAAAUAAAAGAGAGUCAAACAUAGCGCAAUAAGAGAACAAAAAAAUAUAUACAUUCUUUAGUAUGCCAUCUAACUAACUAGGAAUUACUACCCAUGUCGAAACGCGGAUGACCGCACCGAGAAGGCAAAUUCUUCUUUGCCAAUCGAAGAGCACAAACAAGAAUGAGAUAGAAUACAACCAAAAUUACAGAUGAAUGAUUAAGCUCACAAGUUGGGGUCUUACAAACCGAUCUAGCGGCGAAACUAUUCUCGACAGAAUAUUCUAAGCAAAACCCGACUCUAAACGAUGACGGCUACUUAAUUAAUAUGAUUAGGGACGUCCUAGGGUUGCCCUAGGGCGCACACCCUCAUGGGCUAAGCCCACGACACAAUUAUAAGGCCCAAAACCCAAAUCAGAUUUGGAUUGGAUGAGAUACAUAACUUGUUUUGUAGAUUCCCGACAGCUCGGUAGGAAUUUUGACGUAGGACCAAAACCAUCUAAAAGUAGACUCCAUAAGCUUUCCAACAAGUACUCAUAGGCCCCGAAAUUCCUUCUAGAUCAACAUCUAGGUUCGUUUGAAGUUGAUGCUGUCAGGAGGCCCGAAUCCGAAUCCAAAACGUGUAGAACUUGAUCUCUUGUCUUCUAUGGACCAAAAGUGACGUGGUGAGGUAGAAGUAGACUUGGAGAAGGUCUUGGUUUGGUCCCCAAUCAACUUCUUUGAUCAUCCAUGCAUUCGUUACGCUCGGUCUCUUUUCCUUCGCCCAAGCAAGUACCUCUACAAACAAAAACACAUCAUUGUGUAGCAACGUUUGUUCAAAUAUAUAACAAGUAAAUCUAAUGUAGAACAUAUGUACCUUUGUUUGAUUAAUAUAUAAGGUAUCCAUGGUUAUAUCCAAACUAGUAGUGUCCUCAUCACCUAGCUAGAAGUAUCAUGACGCUAAUGGUGGUGGAUAGAAAAUGGCAAAGGAAGGGAGAUAGUGCUGUUUCCAAAGGCAGAGAUGAAGUAAAAUAGGGUUCAAUGUAAAACAAAAGGGAGAGAGAGAGAGAGCUCAAAGUGAAAAGAAUGUGUAAAGGAGGGCAAAAGUGAAACUUUUGUAGUAAAGAGGUCCACAUUGCAAACCAUCUCUAUGUUUUAAGUUUUGAUGCAUGUAAAAAUAAUGUGACUGUGACAUCCCGGCCCAAUUUGGAUUAGGCCUGUGUGGCCCAUGUGAGUUGUGUGCGUAUGUUUAGUACGACCUUAUUAGUUUAGCAUGAGUGGAACUAACUUAUAAGGCCUCUUCCCUCCAACCAUACCCUUUUACACGAAGCGAGGACGAAAGUGUAAGUGGAGUGAUGUGUGUAAGUGGGCCCGCUACGUGGUUCUGGAGGGAGGGCUGUAACAAAUGGUAUCGGAGCCGACCCUUGCGAUUGCGCGUACGGGUCAGUGUGCGGGCAUAUGGCGCUGGCACUGGACGUACGGAUGUGCGCUUCGCGGUUGCGCGUACAGGUCAGUGUGCGGGCAUAUGGCGCAUGGCGCAUGUGGGCUCUGUGUGAGGCACAUGGCAUGGCAUAUGGCGCUAGCACUGGACGUACGGAUGUGCGCUGAGAGGGGGUGUGUUCCUGGACAGUUGCCUAUAUGCCUGUGUGGCUACAUGGGUAAGUUGGGCCGACAGGGAUGUCGGGUCCUUUGAGGGGGGGGGGGGUUGUGACAUCCCAGCCCAAUUUGGAUUAGGCCUGUGUGGCCCCACUCCCGGGUUAACCCUUUUAUACGAAGCGAUGACGGAAGUGUAAGUGGAGUGGUAUGUGUAAGUGGGCCCGCCCGUCGGAUGGGCUGGCUACACGGUUCUGUAGGGAGGGCUGUGACAGUGACGUGGUCAUCACUUCCAACUUAAAUGCUAAAAAUAUUGUUCUCAAUUUGUAACCUCCAUUGAGAGUAUUAUCAUGUUCUUAGUAAUUGCUUAUUGAUAUUUUUAUGGAAAAAGAGGUGUAGGCAAUCUUCUUCACAUUAUUCAUUACAGUAAGAUCGUUACACAUUUAGUUUACUUCUCGUUGAUCUGCCACUCAGCAUACUGUUGCGGCCCACGCCUCGGAGCAAAGACAGCCAUCUCAUCGCCGCGGUUGAACUUUACAUGCCUAGAGUCCUCCCUUGAAAGCCUAUAAGCAUUGGCGACCACGUCAACGGGUAGAGCACGAAGAAUGGAGGCCUUCCCUGCGAUCUGACUGUCGACAGCAUUGUGAUUGGUCUUGAAGGAUACCCAUGCAAAUCCUUCACGUCGAGCCUUCACCACCACUGCAAAGUUCUGUGGGAUCAACAAGAUCUGCUGUUGGUGAAGCUCACCAUCAAAGACACUCCUACCACGGUGAUCCACCACCUGGAUGUGCCCUUGGCCAGCGGUCACGUACAUCACCGUGUGUGCGUUUACCGUCCAAUGAGGAGUAAGCAAGGCAUUCUACAAAAAUGGAAGUGAAUCAACAUGACAAAUACUUGGCAUAAACUACAUACAUUAUGCUUACAAACUAUAGUAAUUUUCUCUUUGUUUAUACUCACAUUUUGGAGAACGAUUCUGGUGGCACUCAUCUGGAUGAUAUUGAGUAUUGGGAAAUUCUGGCUAUUGGCCCUUGUGAUCCUUCCACCAUGGGGGUUAAAUAUGUCACUGGAUUGUGGGUUGUCUAUGUUCUUCCUCAACUUAAAUGCACACAUAAUUUCAUCUAGGACAUUUUGCUGGCCGCAAGCUCCACCACUUCGCAACCAGGUGGGCUGUAGCUGCUUGGUUGGCAAGUAAGCUUGGGUUUGUUCCUCUUUCACUGGCUCAACUUGGAGAGAGGGCUGCAGUGCCUGGAGCCCAUUUUCAACUCUAAUGAUGGCACCUCUUGGGUCACUCAGGCCUUGGAGCCUCAACACAGUUUGCUUGCUCACACUCAGGGCUUCAGAAAGUAAAUCUGGGCUGAACCCAGCAAAGAUGUUCUGAUUUCUGCUCAGUUGUUCUGUCUGGUAUGAGUACGAUUGCUGCUGCCAGCUACUUCUAGGCUUUCCAGCCAAGAAAAACUCCUAACCCAUUUAUCAUUUCAUAGUAUACAAUACACAUUAGCAUUUUGUUAUCAUUGAAAUCAAAAUAGUGAUAUGGAAUAUUCAUUAUGCUUGUGUGGAGCAUAUGUACGCAUACCCUUCUUUUAGGAUCGAGCUGGUUGGCAUUGUUGCUGGUGUCGAUGACAGUGAAAGCAACCACAGGAGAAUCACCAUUGUUAUAUAGCCAGUGGGCUACUCCAGCUGGCACUGCGAUUACAUCACCUUGGUGGAAUUGGUGAAGUUGCUGGUGCUCGUCUCUCAUUUUUUGGAUUGAUGAUUGAGCCUCACCAGCUGUUGCCACCUCUUGCUCAAAGGGAGACCUAACUGACUGGAACGUCUCUGGACAACCAGGCAGUGCCAUCCCAAACACUCCCCGACCUGCAAUAUAUCCACUCAAUUAAAAAAACCCCACAUAUUAUCAAUUAAAAAUAAAAGAAAAUAGCUACCAUUUACAAUUGUUCACAAUAUAUUGGAGCUUGCUCAAACAAUAUACAGACCUUGGACGAUGUAGACAAGCUUGUGAGCAUUAGCAUACAUUGGUAAAACUAAGCCCUUGCUCUCGACGACUAAGCGCCUCACGCUCACUCCGGCACAACGGAACUCAUUUCUUGCCUCAAUGUUGUAGUACUCAGUGAAUCCAGCUUCAGAUCUCUGCUGGUGUGUUGCCUCAAGGGCGGUGAGGUGCUCAAAACGACAUUGAUGACGACUAUCUUGGUCUCCCCUAAAUCCACGUGGGCUCUGAAGUGGGCUUCCCCCAAAUGAAAAUUGUGCCAUGGACACUUGGAAGAAGAGAAGGAGGCCAAGGCACAAUGGAAGAAUGGUAGACAUGGAAGCCAUAGUUAUUCACUUAGUUUCCCACUGCUCUUG
This 6672-nucleotide long non-coding RNA is filed under the name Oryza sativa (Asian cultivated rice). RNAcentral's name for it is "long non-coding RNA (OSAT_LNC000345)". Lineage: Eukaryota; Viridiplantae; Streptophyta; Magnoliopsida; Poales; Poaceae. The record is from RNAcentral.